This 85-nucleotide non-coding RNA is filed under the name Aplanochytrium stocchinoi. Lineage: Eukaryota; Bigyra; Thraustochytrida; Thraustochytriidae. The record is from RNAcentral.
GUACAUUAUAUAUAUAUAUAUUUAUAUAUAUAGUUAUUAUUAAUGUUUCCGAAGGGAAAUGAAAUUAACACAAAAUGAUUGGCGA